AUUUACAACUUGAAUAUGAAUAUUCUAAUGCAACUAAAUACAGAGAAGAUUAGAAUGUCCCUCCUCAAGGUUGACAUGCAUAAAUCAAGAAAUGGUCCAAAUAUUU
Corylus avellana is the source of this 106-nucleotide small nuclear RNA. The record is from RefSeq and is a predicted model, not a curated record. NCBI's taxonomy places the organism in Eukaryota, Viridiplantae, Streptophyta, Magnoliopsida, Fagales, Betulaceae.